Molecule: ribosomal RNA, 388 nt
Filed under: uncultured bacterium
Lineage: Bacteria
Description: bacterial SSU rRNA
Rfam family: Bacterial small subunit ribosomal RNA
Source: RNAcentral
GACGAACGCUGGCGGCGUGCUUAACACAUGCAAGUCGAGCGGUAAGGCCCUUUCGGGGGUAUACGAGCGGCGAACGGGUGAGUAACACGUGGGUGACCUGCCCUCAGCUCUGGGAUAAGCCUGGGAAACUGGGUCUAAUACCGGAUAUGACUCCAUGACGCAUGUUGUGGGGUGGAAAGCCUUGUGCGGCUGGGGAUGGGCCCGCGGCCUAUCAGCUUGUUGGUGGGGUGAUGGCCUACCAAGGCGACGACGGGUAGCCGGCCUGAGAGGGCGACCGGCCACACUGGGACUGAGACACGGCCCAGACUCCUACGGGAGGCAGCAGUGGGGAAUCUUGCGCAAUGGGCGAAAGCCUGACGCAGCGACGCCGCGUGAGGGAUGACGGCCU